This 276-nucleotide ribosomal RNA is filed under the name uncultured Ascomycota. RNAcentral's name for it is "partial 18S ribosomal RNA". It matches the Rfam family "Eukaryotic small subunit ribosomal RNA", at positions 548 to 830 of the family's 1831-position model. Lineage: Eukaryota; Fungi; Ascomycota. The record is from RNAcentral.
UUGGAGGGCAAGUCUGGUGCCAGCAGCCGCGGUAAUUCCAGCUCCAAUAGCGUAUAUUAAAGUUGUUGCAGUUAAAAAGCUCGUAGUUGAACUUUGGGCCUGGUUGGUCGGUCCGCCUAACCGCGUGCACUGAUACGACCGGGCCUUUCCUUCUGGCUAGCCUCAUGCCCUUCACUGGGUGUGAUGGGGAACCAGGACUUUUACUUCGAAAAAAUUAGAGUGUUCAAAGCAGGCCUAUGCUCGAAUACAUUAGCAUGGAAUAAUAAAAUAGGACGG